RNAcentral lists this ribosomal RNA (323 nucleotides) under uncultured Pseudomonadota bacterium. RNAcentral's name for it is "bacterial SSU rRNA". It matches the Rfam family "Bacterial small subunit ribosomal RNA", at positions 30 to 349 of the family's 1533-position model. Lineage: Bacteria; Pseudomonadati; Pseudomonadota. The record is from RNAcentral.
AUUGAACGCUGACGGCACGCUUAACACAUGCAAGUCGAGCGGCAGCAUGGUGUGUAGCAAUACACACUGAUGGCGAGCGGCGGACGGGUGAGGAAUACGUAGGAACCUGCCCUCAAGCGGGGGAUAACCAAGGGAAACUUUGGCUAAUACCGCAUAAUCUCGGAAGAGAAAAGCUACCCGCAAGGGCGGCACUUGAGGAGGGGCCUGCGUCCGAUUAGCUAGUUGGUAGGGUAAGAGCCUACCAAGGCGAUGAUCGGUAACUGGUCUGAGAGGACGACCAGUCACACUGGGACUGAGACACGGCCCAGACUCCUACGGGAGGC